CUCCUUAAAAAACUCUUAACUAGAAAGACAGGAAACUCAACUGGGAAGUAGGAGGCAGAAGUGGGGACUAUAGGGUGUGGGUUUGGCAAAGGCUGGAGAAUAGUUUCCCUAGAGCAGAAGAGUGGGCAAGGGUAAGACCUGGACUCUCAGGGACCAUGGGAGAUGAGCCAAUGAGAGGCAAGAGAGCACUGCCACACUAGGACCAAAAGAUCCAAAUGCCUAUCUAUGCUCCCUAGUUCUACUUGACAUUAACUCGAAGUCCUAGCCAGAGCAAGUAAGAAAGAAGAGAAAACAGGCAUCCAGAGAGAUAGUAAGAGAAUCAGUAAAACCCCCUCUAAUUACAGAUGACAAGAGCUCAUAUGUAGACAAUCCUAGAGAAACACACACACACACACAACUAUUCUAGCUAAUACAUGAAUUAAAAAAGAAAAGAAAAGAAAACUGAAGGGUGCAAUAGUCACAGAAAAAAAUCAAUUGCAUUUUUAUACACAUUGGGAAAAGGAAAUUAAGAAAGCCAUUCCGUUUAUAAUAGCCUCCAAAUCUAAAAUGCUUAGAAAUUAAUUUACCCAAGGAAGUGAAAGACUUGUACACUGAUAACUAUAAAACACUAUUGAAAGAAACUAAAAAAUACCUAAGGAGAUGAAAAGACAUCCCAUGUUCAUGCUUUAAAAGACUCCAUAUUAUUAUAAUGGUAAUAAUCCCCAAAUGGAUACAUAGAUCAGUGCCAUCUCUAUCAAAAUCCCAAUGACCUUUUUUAAAAAACAGAAACAGAAAAACUGAUGCCAAAAUCCAUAUAGAAUUUCAAGAGACCCUGAAUAGCCAAGCAGCCUUUGAAAAGAACAAAGUUGGGGGGUUGGGGGACUCACACAUCCCAAUUUCAAACACUACUACAAAGUUAUAGUAAUGAAAACAGUGUGGUAUUGGCACAAGACUAGACACAUAGGUCAGUGGAAUGGAUGUGAGAGUCCAGACACAAACUGGUACAACUAUGGCACUUGAUUUUGAACAAGGGCGCCAAGACCAUUCAAUGUAUACAAAGUAGUCUCUUACAAUUCAACAAGACAAAUAAUCCAAUUACAAAGUGAGUAAAGGACUUACAUGGACAUUUUUCCAAAGAAGAUACACAAAGAGACCACAAACAUGAAAGUAUGCUCAAUGAAUAUCAUUAGUCUCAGGAAAAUACAGAUCAAAACCCAUAUGAGCUGCCACUCAUUUUACCAGGAUGGCUAAAAUUAAAAGUAAAAUAAAUGUUGGUGAAGAUUUAGAGAAAUUACAACCCUCAUACAGUGCUGGUAGGCAUGUAAAAUGAUACAGUCAGUAUGGCAAAUACUUCUUUAUUUCUUCAAAAGGUUAAUCAGAAUUACCACAUGACCAGGAAUCCUACUCUUAGGCAUAUAUUACCAAAAUAAUUAAAGACAG
This 1419-nucleotide long non-coding RNA is filed under the name Marmota monax (woodchuck). Lineage: Eukaryota; Metazoa; Chordata; Mammalia; Rodentia; Sciuridae. The record is from RNAcentral.